Molecule: long non-coding RNA, 468 nt
Filed under: Mytilus galloprovincialis (Mediterranean mussel)
Lineage: Eukaryota; Metazoa; Mollusca; Bivalvia; Mytilida; Mytilidae
Source: RNAcentral
AUGACAGCAAAGAAACUCACAAAAAGAUGCUGAGCAGGCAUUUAAAAAGAAUGGAAGGCAAAAUUUCUCUGAAUGAAAGAAACACCCUCGAAGUGUUUAUAUAUACUACAUAUGAUAAUGUCCUAUAUUGUACUAUGUGAGACCAACUGAUGGAAAUGAAACAUUUUCAACUGUUAAAAAAUGCUGCUAAAAUUGAUGAAAAGCUGCAAAAGAGAGACGAAAGAUGCCAGAGGGACAGUCAAACUCAUAAAUCAAAAAUAAACUGGCUAAAAACGAACGAAGACAAACAGACAAACAAUAGAACACAUGACACAGCAAAGAAAACUAAAGAAUAAGCAACACGAACCCAACCAAAAAUUAGGUGUGAUCUCAGGUGCUCCGGAAGGGUAAGUAGAUCCUGCAACCUGAUCUUACAUACUGUGAAGAAGUAAAUCAAAUGGGGAUCUAUUUAACAUCACUUGAAUAUAU